RNAcentral lists this non-coding RNA (186 nucleotides) under Sedimentisphaerales bacterium. RNAcentral's name for it is "6S RNA". It matches the Rfam family "6S / SsrS RNA". Rfam says of the family: E. coli 6S RNA was the first non coding RNA to be sequenced, but its function was unknown until recently. It consists of 184 nucleotides that fold into an extended hairpin structure with a large single-stranded internal bulge. The 6S RNA specifically associates with RNA polymerase holoenzyme containing the sigma70 specificity factor. The record is from RNAcentral. Lineage: Bacteria; Pseudomonadati; Planctomycetota; Phycisphaerae; Sedimentisphaerales.
UAACCCCUGCGGUGUUCGUAUGGAAAUGAUGAAUUGAAAAAACCGAUACCCAUAACUUUGGGAAAUCAGACCUUGAUGGUUUCGAAAAAGCCUACUCGAGAUAGGAAUUUCGGACACAAGCAACGAUUGCCCACCUGGACAUAAUGGGUUUCUUCAAGCUUUUCUUACGGCACCAGCGGAGGCCAA